This 63-nucleotide transfer RNA is filed under the name Heterocephalus glaber (naked mole-rat). It matches the Rfam family "tRNA", at positions 5 to 66 of the family's 71-position model. From Rfam's summary of the family: Transfer RNA (tRNA) molecules are approximately 80 nucleotides in length. Their secondary structure includes four short double-helical elements and three loops (D, anti-codon, and T loops). The record is from Rfam by way of RNAcentral. Lineage: Eukaryota; Metazoa; Chordata; Mammalia; Rodentia; Bathyergidae.
AUGUAGCUUAGUGGUAGAGCAUUUGCCUUGCAUUCAGGAGUCCUUGGGUUCAAUCCCCAGUGU